GCUCCAAAGAAGGUAAUUGCUUUUCGUUUGAUUUUGUGUUUCAAUUUCGGAAUUAUAGUUUAAACUCCAGACACUCUUUCGCAUGUUCUAGCUCCUUAUAUGAGGUUUUGAUUAAUUGAUUGAUUUAUGUGACUCGGUUUAUUAGUACGUUGAAAGUUUUAGUGAUUUAUUCUUUCUACACUAGUUGAUGUCUUUCUAGUUCUCAUUUUAUUUCCUCCGAUAUUAAGUGUGUUUCAUAUAUUAAUUUGUCUAAAUAUGUUCAUAUUUUGAAUCAUCUAUUCCAUGUCUGAUUUGUUUAGUUUGAUAAAAGUUCAAUUCGAAUUGUUUCAUGUCCAUAAGUUUUCGGUUUAGAUUAUCAGCUUUUCUAAUGAAGAAAUUUGUUAUUCAUAAGGCUCUUCUGUAUACUUUUGUUAGUAUUGCUAUUUGGUACAUCAUAGCUAAUGUGCUGGGAUGGUAGAUUUAGGAAUGGUGUUAAGGCUAUUUAUACUAAAAGGUUUAAAGUGUUUUAGAAAUACUUGGUAAUCUUCCUAAUGUCUGUGAUUCCCUUUACUAUUUCAUUGUGCGUAUAAGACCUUAACUUCACUUAUCUUGAUCUUUAGUAUCUUUAUCUAUGUGCAUGCUUAAUUACUUAUGUUUAAUUCUAAUAUGGUAGACUUGAUUCAUUUCCUGUCAGCUAAUGACUAUAUUCAAAAUAAUAUGUUUUGAGCACAUGAACUGUCAUAAAGUGUGAGGUUUCAUUUUCUUUGCGGAUUUCGGCUUAAUUCCCUGUCUCCCCAUUAUCGCUCUAAUUUUUGUGUCUUGUUAGCAUGAUCAUCCUAUUAAAUGAAGUUUCUGAAUAUUGGCAAAAUCCAUUUUUUUUUUAAAAAGUCAAAUAUAGUUGCUUUAGUAUUUGACAAAAAUAUUUUAAUACAUGACCUCUGUUUUAGAAAUACUUGGUAAUCUUCCUAAUGUCCAUGACUCCCUUUACUGCUUCAAAUAUAGUUGCUGUAGUAUUUAACAAAAAAUAUUUUAAUACAUGACCUCUAUAUAUCAUAUAUGUGUUAAAUCAAAAUAAAGUUUGAAUUGACAGGUGCUACUUUAUGUUAUUUUAUAUCAUUAAAGGGUCC
Molecule: long non-coding RNA, 1106 nt
Filed under: Solanum tuberosum (potato)
Lineage: Eukaryota; Viridiplantae; Streptophyta; Magnoliopsida; Solanales; Solanaceae
Description: long non-coding RNA (STUB_LNC005963)
Source: RNAcentral